This 497-nucleotide ribosomal RNA is filed under the name uncultured bacterium. RNAcentral's name for it is "partial 16S ribosomal RNA". It matches the Rfam family "Bacterial small subunit ribosomal RNA", at positions 28 to 507 of the family's 1533-position model. The record is from RNAcentral.
GAUGAACGCUGGCGGCGUGCCUAAUACAUGCAAGUCGAGCGAACGGACGAGAAGCUUGCUUCUCUGAUGUUAGCGGCGGACGGGUGAGUAACACGUGGAUACCCUACCUAUAAGACUGGGAUAACUUCGGGACACCGGAGCUAAUACCGGAUGAUCUUUUGAACCGCAUGGUUCAAAAGUGAAAGACGGUCUUGCUGUCACUUAUAGAUGGAUCCGCGCUGCAUUAGCUAGUUGGUAAGGUAACGGCUUACCAAGGCAACGAUGCAUAGCCGACCUGAGAGGGGGAUCGGCCACACUGGAACUGAGACACGGUCCAGACGCCUACGGGAGGCAGCAGUAGGGAAUCUGCCGCAAUGGGCGAAAGCCUGACGGAGCAACGCCGCGUGAGUGAUGAAGGUCUUCGGAUCGUAAAACUCUGUUAUUAGGGAAGAACAGAUGUGUAAGUAACUGUGCACAUCCUGACGGUACCUAAUCAGAAAGCCACGGCUAACUACGUG